This 123-nucleotide non-coding RNA is filed under the name Volvox carteri. Its description in RNAcentral is "TPP sequence". It matches the Rfam family "TPP riboswitch aptamer (THI element)". From Rfam's summary of the family: Vitamin B(1) in its active form thiamin pyrophosphate (TPP) is an essential coenzyme that is synthesised by coupling of pyrimidine and thiazole moieties in bacteria. The previously detected thiamin-regulatory element, thi box was extended, resulting in a new, highly conserved RNA secondary structure, the THI element, which is widely distributed in eubacteria and also occurs in some archaea. Analysis of operon structures identified a large number of new candidate thiamin-regulated genes, mostly transporters, in various prokaryotic organisms. The record is from RNAcentral. RNAcentral also lists the same sequence under 1 other name. Lineage: Eukaryota; Viridiplantae; Chlorophyta; Chlorophyceae; Chlamydomonadales; Volvocaceae.
CUCUCCGUCUCGGGGUGCUCUGAACGUGCUGCGCGCAUAUCUUUGCGCGCAUGUCAGGGCUGAGAGAAACCCGCAGCACCUGAACGCGGUAAUGCGCGCGUAGGGAAGACGGAGAUUCACAUU